Molecule: small RNA, 1743 nt
Filed under: Histoplasma capsulatum var. duboisii H88
Lineage: Eukaryota; Fungi; Ascomycota; Eurotiomycetes; Onygenales; Ajellomycetaceae
Description: Histoplasma capsulatum H88 hypothetical RNA
Source: RNAcentral
GAACUCCCACUCUAACAGUCUGCGAAGAAUGCCAUUGGUUUUUCUGUCACAGCUUCCUAAUAUCCGAUAGAGUGAAGUAUACAGAGACAUUUUACUUUUCAUCUAGCCAGUAUGUCUCGAAGACCAACAGAUGUGGCGUCGAAGGAGCGCAAUGAGUACAUCCCCGCCUUUAUCUCCAAGAAGCCUUUCUACGUCGAUGAUGAGUCUUCCGCAAAUGACUACCUCGAGCAUCAGCGACUCCAGAAAUCCAAGACAGAGCAAAAAUGGUACGACAGAGGGAAGCGUGUAGGACCAGCUGCCACCAAAUAUCGCAAAGGCGCAUGCGAGAACUGCGGCUCCAUGUCUCACAAAGUUAAAGAGUGUCUGAGCAGACCAAGGAAACUUGGAGCGAAAUGGACGGGGAAAGAUAUACAACCAGACGAAGAGAUUCAAAAAGUGGACCUAGAUUGGGAUGCGAAGCGGGAUAGAUGGAACGGUUAUGAUGCUUCGGAAUAUCGGAAUGUGGUGGAGGAAUAUGAAGAGCUGGAAGCGUUGAAGAGACAAGCGAAGGAUCGCACAGAGAUGAAAGAGCUACGGACUGGCGACGAUGACGAGGAAGAUUAUGAGGGAGACGACGGUGCUGAGGAGGCUAGAUAUGCAGAGGAGUCUGAUAUGGGCCGUCAACAGAGUACCGCCACACGUAACCUACGUAUACGAGAAGACACUGCGAAAUAUCUCCUCAACUUGGAUCUUGACUCCGCUAAAUAUGACCCUAAGACCCGCAGGAUGGUGGAUAUGGGCGCACAGUCGGAUCUGGCUGCAGCUCUGGUAGCGGAAGAAAACUUCAUUCGGGCCUCAGGAGAUGCUGCUGAAUUUGAACGAGCUCAGCGAUACGCGUGGGAAUCUCAGGAGCGUGGCGAUAAAGACAGACAGCACCUUCAGGCAAAUCCUACAUCGGGCGAGUAUUUCAGAAAGAAAGAAAAGGAGCAGGCGGAAGAAAAGCGCAAGGCUCAACGAAAGGCGUUGCUAGAGAAGUAUGGUGGCGAGGAACAUCUACAGCCAGCUCCCUUGCGCGAAGCUGCAGUUAUUGAGAACGAACGAUUUGUCGAGUAUGAUGAGACAGGAACUAUUAAAGGGGGGCCCAAAAAGGUUGCGAAAUCACGGUAUGCUGAGGAUAUACUCAACAACAACCACACCACGGUAUGGGGCAGUUGGUGGUCAAACUUUGUAUGGGGUUAUGCGUGUUGCCAUUCUACAGUGAAAAACAGCUAUUGUACGGGGGAGGAAGGGAAGACUGCGUUUGAGGAGGCUCAAAAUAUGCUACUUAAUGAUAUGGAAAAGGCUGGGGAGGAAGAGGAAGUACGGGGAGAACCAGAGAAAGAUAUCUCGGAGGAAGCAUCCCUGCAGGCAAAGAAGCGGGAUAAAACCGGCCCUGAUACAAAGCUCGGGAAACGGACCCUCCAAGAGAUGCGGCAGGGGGUUACCGAGGAGGAGCUUGAAGCCUACAAGAAAUCGAGAAGUGCAGCAGCUGAUCCAAUGGCGGCGUAUCUCGGGAAGGAUGAGCUGGCUCGAUGAUAAUCUGGCGAGCGGUUUAUAAUGAUUCCGCUUAAAUGUUGAGUGUGCAAACGAAUUGCUAUAACUAGUUUUGUUUGAUCGCCAUUUUUCUUACUUGAAACAAAUGUACGAGUAUUUGUGAUAUGCUAUAGACUAGGUAUUUUAAUUAUAUCAACAUGCCAACCGGCCAGCAUGUCAACAAUCGGCCCC